RNAcentral lists this transfer RNA (77 nucleotides) under Chloroflexota bacterium. RNAcentral's name for it is "Chloroflexi bacterium tRNA-Arg". It matches the Rfam family "tRNA". From Rfam's summary of the family: Transfer RNA (tRNA) molecules are approximately 80 nucleotides in length. Their secondary structure includes four short double-helical elements and three loops (D, anti-codon, and T loops). Further hydrogen bonds mediate the characteristic L-shaped molecular structure. tRNAs have two regions of fundamental functional importance: the anti-codon, which is responsible for specific mRNA codon recognition, and the 3' end, to which the tRNAs corresponding amino acid is attached (by aminoacyl-tRNA synthetases). tRNAs cope with the degeneracy of the genetic code in two manners: having more than one tRNA (with a specific anti-codon) for a particular amino acid; and 'wobble' base-pairing, i.e. permitting non-standard base-pairing at the 3rd anti-codon position. Lineage: Bacteria; Bacillati; Chloroflexota. The record is from RNAcentral.
GCGCCCGUAGCUCAGUUGGAUAGAGCGUCGGACUUCGAAUCCGAAGGUCGCAGGUUCGAUCCCUGCCGGGCGCACCC